Molecule: small nuclear RNA, 188 nt
Organism: Acomys russatus (golden spiny mouse)
Lineage: Eukaryota; Metazoa; Chordata; Mammalia; Rodentia; Muridae
Product: U2 spliceosomal RNA
Exons: 1
Source: RefSeq, a predicted model, not a curated record
ACAGUUUGGAACAUUUUGGCUACAGUCAAGUGUUGUGUCUGUUCCUUACAGUUUACUAUUUGGUAUGUCUUCUAUCUGAGGACACUAUAGCAAAUAGAUUUUUGGGUCUGGGAGAUGGAACAGGCUUACUCCUUCCAUUCCAUGCAUUGACCUAGUGCUGCAGUAUUUGCAUGAUCAUUGUAUCAAAA